UCCUGACCGUACCUGCAUGAAUCCAUAACCUCUUCCUUGUGAUCUUGUUUGCUACAGACAUGUUCAGUCAUCCAAUCCAUCCCUGCAGCACUCAUCAGAGGAAGCAGAGGGAACAUGAAUGAAAAAGUCUCACUGUGCUGUUGAAGCCCAGAACACCUGUGAAAAUCUGCUGGAGUCUGCAAUAACCCCAGGCAUUUAGGACUUUUCAGAAAGAAGAGGAAGGCAGGACCAUGCCUACUGAGAAGGUAACUUAAGGCAUGUGAGAAAAGCAACAUGAGUAUUCCACAUCAGUAGGAGAGCAGAAGGUAAACUGUGCACUGAUGGUCUGGAAAUAGUCAAUGCUUGGUUGCACAUGAGCCUCAAUCCACCUGUGCUGAUGAGAGCUUGGAAGCAGCACAGUCAUAUGGGAAUGAGCCCAGAUCUUGCACUGUUCAUUGAUGAAUCUGGAUGGACAUAAGCAGAUUCCAUAUCUCAAGUCAGAUGUCCUAGAGAGCCUGUACUAGCAUUGAUUUUGUAUGACUCAGGAAGCCUCAAAUAGCUAUAAUUGUUGAU
Molecule: long non-coding RNA, 552 nt
Organism: Dromaius novaehollandiae (emu)
Lineage: Eukaryota; Metazoa; Chordata; Aves; Casuariiformes; Dromaiidae
Exons: 3
Source: RefSeq, a predicted model, not a curated record